Molecule: non-coding RNA, 3075 nt
Organism: Chrysemys picta bellii (western painted turtle)
Lineage: Eukaryota; Metazoa; Chordata; Testudines; Emydidae
Source: RefSeq, a predicted model, not a curated record
CCCUCGUCGAUGAAGGCCUCGUGAAAACCGUUGAGCUGCCCGUUCAUGGCGACACCGGAAGGAAGCGGCGAAAGAAGAACAAAGGCCCGCAAGACACCAGCCUCGGCAGAAUGAGAGCAGCGCCUCCAAGGCACCGCCUCUUGGAAAGGGCUUACGCUUCGCUGCAUGGACUGAACCAUCCACCAGCUUCCUUGUAGUUUCGGCGCUUUCCAAGCCAGGUGCCUUUGCUAAGCACAUGAUACCCUCCCACCAAGGGGCCGAUCCACAUCUCUGAGCCACGCAAGGAGUCUUCCACCAAAACCACGGAAGACCAGAUGUGGCAUUCCUGAUGUUAAGCCAUUUCCGGCCUUGAGACCAUCCCCAGGAAGGGGCACUGACCCGCUUUCUGGGUCAGCUUUGCAGCACAGAAAUGACGAGUCUGUCACCCCGUCACCUUCCUCCUGCCCCUCAGCUUCCUUCUGAGCUCCAGUGGGCUGCACAGCCUCCAAACAGCCUCCAGCUUUGCACUGUGGGACGCUUCCCCUUGUGAACCGCACUGAGGAGACACGAACAGCGGACAUCCUCCCCCCUCCUCCUCAUAAACGCCGAUUCACCCAGACCUGGAGCUGAAGAUCUUGCCCCAGGCACUGGAACCAAGAAGUACCGCCGGCUCCGGCGCCUGGUAAACGCCUGGCACAGCUGGUGGGCAUGGCUUCGGACUGGAGCUGCCUCCGCAAAGCAUCCAGGCAAAGGCUUCACCUCGGCGAUCAGGGCCAAGAGGGUUAUGCUGGGGAAGAGGUGAAUGGGGUGGGGAACAGGGAGGAGGAGUCUGUCUGGUGCAGGGGGACUGGGAGGAAGACUGGGGAUGGGGAUGCUCAUUCAGAGCUCUGAGGUCUUGGUGGAUUCUGGCCCCACUGAAUUUUAAUCACCCUAAUGGCAAAUGCAGCAUCCUAACGUGCCUGGAAUUGGGCUGGCAUCACAGGCCUGAUCCAUAGCCCACUGAUGUCAAUGGUGGUGGCGUUGGCCCGGUGCUUGUUACUCCCAGGGCAGGUGUCAGCGGGUGGCGCCUUUGCACAGUCUUCCCAGUUCUAUUUCUUAGUGUGCGAGUGAGUGGUGAGUCUUGGGAAGACAUGCUGUGUUGUGGCUAGCGUGGGGCCGUGCAAGGUCCGGAGCAGAGGGAGCUGAGCAAAUAGCAGGCAUGGUCGCGCUCUGCUUUGGACACCAACAGGUCAGUUCUUGAGGCAGAGUCGCUCUCUGGGAACCCCACAGUCUGAGAUCCGCAGAAGAAGCAAUUGCCCUGCGUGGUGUUUGUCCAUCAAACAGCUCGGCCUGCUUGAUACAUUUACACAGGGGAUUCUAUAGUGGGGCUGCCUGCGACAGCAAGGGACUGGGCACGAUGACCCAGAAAGUCCUCUGCUCUGAUCUCAGUGUAAAUAUACACGGACGUCUCGAGUAUAGCCCAGCUUGGCAUCACGGAUGUCUCCGUCACUGGGAAGCUGACCUGCAAGGCCCCGGACUCUUGCAGGGCAAAGGGGCGAAUCCGAAGCUGGUGGCAGAAAAAGGGGCAACCUCUCAGUCCGAGUGGAUCCCAGAGAGCAGCAUAGUCCCCAAUCCAGCUAGGGCUGUGGAGAGGGAGUGGGUGUUCUCCCGUCUGAUUCCCAGGGGAAAGGAGAUGGAAUUCCUAACAUCCUAGGAGAUUAAGGCAUUGAAUUGGGGGGCAGGGGAAGUGCGCUUUCUGCCCCUCCAGUAAGCCCCGCCCACACAAUAAGCCCCACCCAAGGAAGUCCCCAGAACAAGACACCGGAAAUAGGAGUGUGCAGCUCUUGGGCUCCCAUCGGUGGGGCGUGGAUCUGCCCAUGGGCUCUGCCAAGCUGCUCGGCUCCUUGACUGGGAAAACAUAAGCAGUGGCCACGCCCCGUUCCACGUGGUGCCACCUUGCGACCCGCCCACUCCUGUCCCACCUGCAGGAUGAAAUCGUGAACAAUGCUGGCCAUCGCUGGGCACCCAAGUGAACCCCGCUCCGAGGUACAUGGGCUGGCUCGCACCCCUCCCAGCAAUUGUCCCAGGCUCUGUGCACACCCGGGCAGACGUCUUGGCAUCGGUUCCACGCAGGUCACGUUUCUGAGGCUGUCGUCACAGCUAGAGGCUGGUAGUGUUUUAAAACAAAAGCUGAGGCUCCAUGGAAGUCCCCAGCAGCAGGAGCGGGCUGCUAGUCCAUGGUGCUGCCACAUACCAGCUCAGUGCGAGCCCUCCCCCCUGAGUGGGGCAGCCAGGACCCCCGCUCUGCAACUGGGUGACCAUAGGCAAGUCACUUAAUUUCUCUGAGCCUCAGUUUCUCCAGCUGUAACAUGAGGGGCAGUAUGGUCCAGUGGCCUGAAACUCAUGCCUGGCUCUGCCACUGAACUCCUGCAAGACCAUGGACAGGUCACGUGCCCUCACUGUGCGUCAGUUUCCCCUUUAUCAUGUCUAUUUAGACUGUGAGCUCUUCAGAGCAGGGACCAGCUCUCCCUCUGUGUCUGCACAGCUCCAGGCACGAUGGGAUCCUGAUCUACGCCGAUACUUGCCCAGCUGGCAGGGCAGUGCCAGUAAAGCGCUUUGAGAUCCCGAGAUCCAAGCGCAGAGCUUUGACGAUCAAAUUCCUGGCUCUGGGAGUGGGGCAGUGACAGGCAAGGCAAAGGGAAAUACGACAGCUCCCAUUUGAACAAGUAACCUUAACCCAGAGGAUCCUCCCAGCUGCUCCUGUGCCCAGGGCCGGCUCCAGGGUUUUUGCUGCCCCAAGCACGCCCCCCCCCCCAAAAAAGCCGCGAUGGCAAUCUGCGGCGGCAGGUCCUUCACUCCGAGCGGGAGCGAGGGACCCUCCGCCGAAUUGCCGCCGAAUAGCUGGACGUGCCGCCUACCUCUGGACUGGCCGCCCCAAGCACCUGCUUGCUAAGCUAGUCCUGGAGCCGGCCCUGCCUGUGCUCCAGGUGCCUGGGCGGGCCCCAGGCCAAAGGGCAGUCAGCUGAGGAGCACAGCUGUGCCUGCUCUCUUCAACGAGCUCUGUUGAUCUGUGAAUCUAUUAUUAAAUCAAAUAAGGCCAGAGAGGCUAAUUAUCAA